This is a long non-coding RNA of Heterocephalus glaber (naked mole-rat), 566 nucleotides long. The record is from Ensembl. NCBI's taxonomy places the organism in Eukaryota, Metazoa, Chordata, Mammalia, Rodentia, Bathyergidae.
UAGCCUUGCGAGAACAGUGCUGUGCAGGCAGCACUGGUUCCACCCCUACUCUGUGCUAGCCACGGGUUAAGUACACAUAGGUAAACAAAUAAUUGCCCCCGCUGUGGCUUGCAGAAGUAUGCAGGAGGUGCAGAGUAAACACAGAAGAGGAAAGAAUAGCCUGUGGGCAGGCAGUGAUGGUUGCCAAGGUAUUUGCAGGAUGUGGUUUGUGCCAGUUCCUCCCUCCCAGGAGACAUCCCGCAUCACACAACAUUUCACUCAGCUGUGUGGCUGAGCGCUGACAAACUCAAUUUGUGGAAGGUGAGCGCAAGUUGACACCAUGCUGUGGCAGUUGUCCUGAUGGGAGCCAAGGACUCAUUUCAUUCCAAGGUGGAACCCACCUUCUCCGGAAACAAGCUUGUGCACACGAGUGUAGCGGACAAGGACGGAAGACUGACACAAAGUCGAAGAACUUCUGGAGUUGGAGAGAGCAGGGAGGGAUGGGAGGAGAAGCGGACAAAGAGAAUUAAGAUAUGUUGUGUAUGUGUACAAACUUCCCCACAAUAAAUAUAAUCCUCAUGUAUGGC